GUCGACCCCUAAGGCGAGGCCGAAAGGCGUAGUCGAUGGGAAACGGGUUAAUAUUCCCGUACUUGGUGUUACUGCGAAGGGGGGACGGAGAAGGCUAUGUUGGCCGGGCGACGGUUGUCCCGGUUUAAGCGUGUAGGUGUGUGUUCCAGGUAAAUCCGGUUCACUUUAACACUGAGGCGUGACGACGAGGCACUACGGUGCUGAAGCAACAAAUGCCCUGCUUCCAGGAAAAGCCUCUAAGCAUCAGGUAACACGAAAUCGUACCCCAAACCGACACAGGUGGUCAGGUAGAGAAUACCAAGGCGCUUGAGAGAACUCGGGUGAAGGAACUAGGCAAAAUGGUGCCGUAACUUCGGGAGAAGGCACGCUGACACGUAGGUGAAGUGAUUUACUCAUGGAGCUGAAGUCAGUCGAAGAUACCAGCUGGCUGCAACUGUUUAUUAAAAACACAGCACUGUGCAAACACGAAAGUGGACGUAUACGGUGUGACGCCUGCCCGGUGCCGGAAGGUUAAUUGAUGGGGUCAGCGUAAGCGAAGCUCCUGAUCGAAGCCCCGGUAAACGGCGGCCGUAACUAUAACGGUCCUAAGGUAGCGAAAUUCCUUGUCGGGUAAGUUCCGACCUGCACGAAUGGCGUAAUGAUGGCCAGGCUGUCUCCACCCGAGACUCAGUGAAAUUGAACUCGCUGUGAAGAUGCAGUGUACCCGCGGCAAGACGGAAAGACCCCGUGAACCUUUACUAUAGCUUGACACUGAACAUUGAGCCUUGAUGUGUAGGAUAGGUGGGAGGCUUUGAAGUGUGGACGCCAGUCUGCAUGGAGCCGACCUUGAAAUACCACCCUUUAAUGUUUGAUGUUCUAACGUGGACCCGUAAUCCGGGUUGCGGACAGUGUCUGGUGGGUAGUUUGACUGGGGCGGUCUCCUCCUAAAGAGUAACGGAGGAGCACGAAGGUUGGCUAAUCCUGGUCGGACAUCAGGAGGUUAGUGCAAUGGCAUAAGCCAGCUUGACUGCGAGCGUGACGGCGCGAGCAGGUGCGAAAGCAGGUCAUAGUGAUCCGGUGGUUCUGAAUGGAAGGGCCAUCGCUCAACGGAUAAAAGGUACUCCGGGGAUAACAGGCUGAUACCGCCCAAGAGUUCAUAUCGACGGCGGUGUUUGGCACCUCGAUGUCGGCUCAUCACAUCCUGGGGCUGAAGUAGGUCCCAAGGGUAUGGCUGUUCGCCAUUUAAAGUGGUACGCGAGCUGGGUUUAGAACGUCGUGAGACAGUUCGGUCCCUAUCUGCCGUGGGCGCUGGAGAACUGAGGGGGGCUGCUCCUAGUACGAGAGGACCGGAGUGGACGCAUCACUGGUGUUCGGGUUGUCAUGCCAAUGGCACUGCCCGGUAGCUAAAUGCGGAAGAGAUAAGUGCUGAAAGCAUCUAAGCACGAAACUUGCCCCGA
This 1436-nucleotide ribosomal RNA is filed under the name Salmonella enterica. RNAcentral describes it as "partial 23S ribosomal RNA". It matches the Rfam family "Bacterial large subunit ribosomal RNA", at positions 1383 to 2802 of the family's 2925-position model. The record is from RNAcentral. Lineage: Bacteria; Pseudomonadati; Pseudomonadota; Gammaproteobacteria; Enterobacterales; Enterobacteriaceae.